Molecule: non-coding RNA, 28 nt
Filed under: Mus musculus (house mouse)
Lineage: Eukaryota; Metazoa; Chordata; Mammalia; Rodentia; Muridae
Source: RNAcentral
UGCGACAGCUAUUGUCUUCUAUGAUGAC